AGCGUAUUCUUGAGGAAGAGGAAAAAAGAAACAAAUCAACUUCGUCCACGUCUGCACAGAAUGUCACAAAGAGGAGAAGAACCAAACACAAAGCAACAGUGUCUGUGUCUACGCAGACUGCCACAGAGGAGGAAAAAGCCAGAAGCAAAGGAACAGUGUCU
Sturnus vulgaris (Common starling) is the source of this 161-nucleotide non-coding RNA. The record is from RefSeq and is a predicted model, not a curated record. NCBI's taxonomy places the organism in Eukaryota, Metazoa, Chordata, Aves, Passeriformes, Sturnidae.